This 338-nucleotide long non-coding RNA is filed under the name Androctonus crassicauda. The record is from RNAcentral. Lineage: Eukaryota; Metazoa; Arthropoda; Arachnida; Scorpiones; Buthidae.
AGUGGUCUUAUAGUAUGUAAUUGUUGAGAACGAAUGUACCUGGUUUUGUUGGGUCGAUACGUUCCUUUGUUGUGGCCUUUCUAAAUGUUCUCUCGCAUUCUUCCAAACUCCUUCCAUUAUUUUAAACAUAUAUCCAUAUUUAUGGCCUAUAUUAUAUAUAAAGGAGAGCCCUUGGUGUUUGUCUUGCCACCUAGUUAUGUGUGUAUGUAUGCAUGCAAACAUAGCUCUAAAGGCUGCCAAUUUAUAAGGCAUGUAGUUGUUGGACUAUGUUGGUAUUAUUAUUGGCACGUACGUAGGUUUUUUGUAUAUUUUAGUGAUAUAUUCACCUUUUUCCGUCU